CCCUUAGAUGUUCUGGGCGGCCCGCGCACUACAUUGGCACUCUCAAUAAGUUCCUAGAUCUAAAACUUUGGGGUAUUCUAUUAAGUGGUGUCGUGACUGGGAUUAACCCUUGCAAUUAUUGGUUACGAACGAGGAAUUCCUUGUAAUCGCGGUUUAUCAGCCCGCGUUGAAUGCGUCCCUGCCCUUUGUACACACCGCCCGUCGCUCCUACCGAUGAAUCGUCCGGUGAGGUUCAUGGAGUGGUGGUUGUUCCAGCUGCUGUCGAAGUGAAAUGGACCUCACGAUUUAGAGGAAGGAGAAGUCGUAACA
Molecule: ribosomal RNA, 309 nt
Filed under: uncultured eukaryote
Lineage: Eukaryota
Description: partial 18S ribosomal RNA
Rfam family: Eukaryotic small subunit ribosomal RNA
Source: RNAcentral